This 512-nucleotide ribosomal RNA is filed under the name uncultured bacterium. Its description in RNAcentral is "partial 16S ribosomal RNA". It matches the Rfam family "Bacterial small subunit ribosomal RNA", at positions 28 to 507 of the family's 1533-position model. The record is from RNAcentral.
GAUGAACGCUGGCGGCGUGCCUAAUACAUGCAAGUCGAACGAAACUUCUUUAUCACCGAGUGCUUGCACUCACCGAUAAAGAGUUGAGUGGCGAACGGGUGAGUAACACGUGGGCAACCUGCCCAAACGAGGGGGAUAACACUUGGAAACAGGUGCUAAUACCGCAUAACCAUAGUUACCGCAUGGUAACUAUGUAAAAGGUGGCUAUACUACCGCUUUUGGAUGGGCCCGCGGCGCAUUAGCUAGUUGGUAGGGUAAAGGCUUACCAAGGCAAUGAUGCGUAGCCGAAUUGAGAGGUUGAUCGGCCACAUUGGGACUGAGACACGGCCCAAACUCCUACGGGAGGCAGCAGUAGGGAAUCUUCCACAAUGGGCGAAAGCCUGAUGGAGCAACGCCGCGUGGGUGAUGAAGGUCUUCGGAUCGUAAAACCCUGUUGUUAGAGAAGAAAGUGCGUGAGAGUAACUGUUCACGUUUCGACGGUAUCUAACCAGAAAGCCACGGCUAACUACGUG